GAUAUACUCCUUCCGUCUUAAAUUUUUUUGUCUUAGCUUUAUCUUAAUAUGAAUGUAUCUAGUCAUAUUUUAGUGUUAGAUACAUCCAUAUCUAGACAAAUCUUGUAUCAGAAUUUUGAAACUGAGGCAGUAGUAU
Hordeum vulgare subsp. vulgare (domesticated barley) is the source of this 136-nucleotide non-coding RNA. The record is from Rfam. Lineage: Eukaryota; Viridiplantae; Streptophyta; Magnoliopsida; Poales; Poaceae.